GCCGAUGUGGCUCAGUUGGUAGAGCACUCGAUUCGUAAUCGAGCGGUCGCGGGUUCAAAUCCCGCCAUCGGCU
Molecule: transfer RNA, 73 nt
Filed under: Dulcicalothrix desertica PCC 7102
Lineage: Bacteria; Bacillati; Cyanobacteriota; Cyanophyceae; Nostocales; Calotrichaceae
Also listed under: 6 other names
Description: Calothrix desertica PCC 7102 tRNA
Rfam family: tRNA
About the family: Transfer RNA (tRNA) molecules are approximately 80 nucleotides in length. Their secondary structure includes four short double-helical elements and three loops (D, anti-codon, and T loops). Further hydrogen bonds mediate the characteristic L-shaped molecular structure. tRNAs have two regions of fundamental functional importance: the anti-codon, which is responsible for specific mRNA codon recognition, and the 3' end, to which the tRNAs corresponding amino acid is attached (by aminoacyl-tRNA synthetases). tRNAs cope with the degeneracy of the genetic code in two manners: having more than one tRNA (with a specific anti-codon) for a particular amino acid; and 'wobble' base-pairing, i.e. permitting non-standard base-pairing at the 3rd anti-codon position.
Source: Rfam by way of RNAcentral